This 271-nucleotide long non-coding RNA is filed under the name Gallus gallus (chicken). RNAcentral's name for it is "long non-coding RNA NONGGAT001257". The record is from RNAcentral. Lineage: Eukaryota; Metazoa; Chordata; Aves; Galliformes; Phasianidae.
AGAAAUGAACGGACCUUUCCAGCCUGAUGCUAUAAGGUUUCAGUGGGGCUGGCGUACAACCCUGCUCACAGAACAGUACAUUGUACAUCCUGUGCUGAAGAGUUAAUUUCCCUGCUAGCUGCUCUGCCACACCUAAGGCGAACUUUCUCCCCAAGCAGCAGGAGUCAGAGGCUGCACCCAGAGGUGAGUGAAGCAUCAGCUGGUACCCUCAGGUGAAGUUUCAUGUUACACUGAAUUUGGGAGACUGCAUGUGUAUCUGCCACAGUGGCAC